GGGCCUGUAGCUCAGUUGGCAGAGCAUCGGACUUUUAAUCCGCGGGUCGAGGGUUCGAGCCCCUCCGGGCCCA
Non-coding RNA from Microbacterium testaceum StLB037, 73 nucleotides. The record is from Rfam. NCBI's taxonomy places the organism in Bacteria, Bacillati, Actinomycetota, Actinomycetes, Micrococcales, Microbacteriaceae.